RNAcentral lists this ribosomal RNA (468 nucleotides) under uncultured Rubrivivax sp. RNAcentral's name for it is "bacterial SSU rRNA". It matches the Rfam family "Bacterial small subunit ribosomal RNA", at positions 335 to 795 of the family's 1533-position model. The record is from RNAcentral. Lineage: Bacteria; Pseudomonadati; Pseudomonadota; Betaproteobacteria; Burkholderiales; Sphaerotilaceae.
UAUCCUACGGGAGGCAGCAGUGGGGAAUUUUGGACAAUGGGGGCAACCCUGAUCCAGCCAUGCCGCGUGCGGGAAGAAGGCCUUCGGGUUGUAAACCGCUUUUGUCAGGGAAGAAAUGCUCUGGGCUAAUACCUCGGAGUGAUGACGGUACCUGAAGAAUAAGCACCGGCUAACUACGUGCCAGCAGCCGCGGUAAUACGUAGGGUGCAAGCGUUAAUCGGAAUUACUGGGCGUAAAGCGUGCGCAGGCGGUCGUGCAAGACAGGUGUGAAAUCCCCGGGCUUAACCUGGGAACUGCAUUUGUGACUGCACGGCUUGAGUACGGCAGAGGGGGAUGGAAUUCCGCGUGUAGCAGUGAAAUGCGUAGAUAUGCGGAGGAACACCGAUGGCGAAGGCAGUCCCCUGGGCCUGUACUGACGCUCAUGCACGAAAGCGUGGGGAGCAAACAGGAUUAGAUACCCUGGUAGUC